RNAcentral lists this ribosomal RNA (384 nucleotides) under Syngnathus acus (greater pipefish). Its description in RNAcentral is "partial 12S ribosomal RNA". It matches the Rfam family "Bacterial small subunit ribosomal RNA", at positions 794 to 1384 of the family's 1533-position model. Lineage: Eukaryota; Metazoa; Chordata; Actinopteri; Syngnathiformes; Syngnathidae. The record is from RNAcentral.
GCAUAACUGUAAACACCGAUAGCAAUUUACCCGCAAUCCGCCAGGGAACUACAAGCAUUAGCUUGAAACCCAAAGGACUUGGCGGUGCUUUAGACCCACCUAGAGGAGCCUGUUCUAGAACUGAUAACCCCCGUUCAACCUCACCCUGCUUUGUCAUACCCGCCUAUAUACCGCCGUCGUCAGCUUACCUUGUGAAAGAUUAUAAGUGAGCAAGAUUGGUACAACCCAAAACGUCAGGUCGAGGUGUAGUGUAUAGCAGGGGAAGAAAUGGGCUACAUUUAUCUACUGAUAAACACGGAUUAUUUAUUGAAAAAUAAAACUGAAGGAGGAUUUAGCAGUAAGAAGAAAAUAGAGAGUUCUUCUGAAACAGGCUCUGAAGCGCGC